CUGGCUCUGCAGCAGCAAAGCGGAGGGGGGUGGCGAGAGAGAGUGUGUGUGUGUAACGAGGGGAGGAGGGGGAGAGCUGGCAGCCAGCCAGCCACCAUCAGAAUUAGCUCAUUGUUCAAUAGAACCAGCACAGGCAACCAAACCCCAGCCUGGAGAGACUUUCUCCCAGCCGCCCCCACCCCUUUUCUUUUUUCCUCCAAGGCUGCUGCACUUUGGAAGAGGUGCAGUCAUUCUUUCCCCACACCCCCAACCCUACCCACUCCCCCCGCAACUAUAAAUUCCCUUCUGGAGCAUGCUGCCCUCUUUUUAAUCCACAUUUGUGUUUCAGAUCAUGUAGAAAGGACAGAAAGGGAGCAGGGGCUUUUGUCUAUUAUUCUCUUUGUGGUACCGGAGAGAAACUGCAGUCCCAAGACUUAAGAGUCUAAAAAUGAGCACUGGUUUUCUGCUGAAGAGGAUCUUAUUCCUUUGAGGAUAAAAGAAACACUUUGAAUUCCAGAAUGUGCUGGACAGCUAGCUUACAUAAUGCCAUUUAGCAAACAUCUACAGUGGUGAGAUUUGGGGAGCCUGUGAAAGCUCUGUGAAAUUGGCCCUUUUAAAACAUGGAACAUUUAAACAUGGAAAAUUGAGAUCACUUAUAAUGGAAUGGAG
Molecule: long non-coding RNA, 648 nt
Organism: Gopherus evgoodei (Goodes thornscrub tortoise)
Lineage: Eukaryota; Metazoa; Chordata; Testudines; Testudinidae
Exons: 4
Source: RefSeq, a predicted model, not a curated record